Molecule: long non-coding RNA, 710 nt
Filed under: Malus domestica (apple)
Lineage: Eukaryota; Viridiplantae; Streptophyta; Magnoliopsida; Rosales; Rosaceae
Description: long non-coding RNA (MDOM_LNC004846)
Source: RNAcentral
GGAGGGAUGACACACCUAGACCGAAGUCGAGAUAGUAAGAGUAAUACUAACAAUUUAAAACCUAUUAACUAACAAUCCCAAUUAAGAAAGGAUGCCAGUGAGAGUUUAAGUGUAUAAAUACACUUUCAAAGCAAUAAGAGUGUCUAAUUGCAGUCAAGUAGGAUGAUUACUAAAAUACAACACCCGAAGAUGAAUCCUACUUUUUCGGAUUCUGUAAGAACACCGUUGAAGUCCUCGUGACCACCAAACUCAGCUCACUAAGACCUGGAGGGGCGAAAAACAAAGUUGAGUGGGUCAGUAAAACACAAUUCUACGACAAGAUUGGAUGUAAUAUAAUUAUGCUCAAUUCUACUCUCUCAUAAUAGCUGGGCGAUAAAUCGCUAGUGACCUACGAGUCGGAACCAUAAAUAAGGUAUGUAUGACAAGGCUGUGCACUUAAAUUGGAUCCAAUAUGAGCAUAUAGUGCGGGGAUGACAUAAUAAACAGGCCUGUAUCAUAUCUUUGGCUAAAUCAAUCACCCUAGGUGCAGUUUUAUGAGCUCAACAUUAUUCAAUCACAUAUCGCAUCAUCGAUGAUUUACAUAACCAAACACAACUUACCUGAACUUACAUGUGCCUCCACAGCACCACAUUUAUAUAUAUAAGUUAUCACACAUCAAUUCAUGCACGAAACAUAAUUGUAUAUGCAUGGCAUUUAAAUUGCAUUUCCUU